GACGAACGCUGGCGGCGUGCUUAACACAUGCAAGUCGAACGGAAAGGCCCUGCUUUUGUCGGGUGCCCGAGUGGCGAACGGGUGAGUAACCCGUGAGUAACCUGCCCUUGACUUUGGGAUAACUUCAGGCAACUGGGGCUAAUACCGGCUAGGAGCUCCUGCUGCAUGGUGGGGUUUGGAAAGUUUCGGCGGUUGGGGAUGUACUCGCGGCUUAUCAGCUUGUUGGUGGGGUAGUGGCUUACCAAGGCUUUGACGGAUAGCCGGCCUGAGAGGGUGACCGGCCUCAUUGGGACUGAGGUACGGCGCAGACUCCUACGGGGGGCAGCAGGGGGGAAUAUUGCCCAACGGGGGGAAGCCUGAUGAAGAGGCGCCGCGUGCGGGAUGACGGCCUUGGGGUUGUAAACCGCUUUAGCCUGUGACGAAGCGUUAGUGACGGUAAUGGGUAAAGAAGCACCGGCUAACUACGUG
Molecule: ribosomal RNA, 468 nt
Filed under: uncultured bacterium
Lineage: Bacteria
Description: partial 16S ribosomal RNA
Rfam family: Bacterial small subunit ribosomal RNA
Source: RNAcentral